CUGGUAUCCCGAUUUUCCUCACUGUUGUGAGAUAACCAUGUCCUUCAAAGUGCAUCUUUCCAGUUGCUGUGUAGCAGAUGCAGUACCCUGAUGCAGGAAAAGCAGAGCAUGCACAAGGGCAAAGAACAUGCGGAGAUUCUCCAACUUGUGCUCAAUUUUGCUGCACACCCCAAACUGCUCUGAAAUAGUAAAUCUAAAGUAAAGAAGGAGAUGAACUACUAAGCCAUGAAAACACACAGAACCACCUUAAAUGUACUACAAAGUGAAAUGGUUUGAUCAUGUCCCCAUGGUUCAGUUGGAAACUAUCCCCAGUGCAGAGUUCUGAGAGGUGGGGUCUAAUAGGAGGAGUUUGUCAUGGGGCACCGGCCUCGUGCAUUGAUCAAUAUUGUACUUUACAUUUCUUACAAGAACUUGGCUCCCUCUCACCUUCUGUUUGCCCUUCUUCCAUGAGAUGGCUCAGCAAGAAGGUCCUUGCCAGAAAUGCCAGCCCCUUGAUCUUGGGCUUCCCAGCUUCUAGAACCACAAGUCAGUAAAUUUCUGCUUAUUUAAAAGGUACCCAGUGUGGUAUUCUGUUAUAGUAACACAAAACAGAAGCCAAUCCGAAAAGGCUAUUCCACCCAUGGAACCUUCUGGAAGAAGCAAAACUAUGAAGGCAGGAAAAAGAUCAGCAGUUGCCAGGAGUUAAGGGAAGAAUGAAUAGGCUGAGCACAGAGGAUUUUUAAGGUGGUGAAACUAGAUCGUGUUCCUGCAGUGGAGGAUACAAGUCCACUAUAGAAUGUAUGUCACCAACGGUGAGCCCUAGGGAUAAACUGUCACCAGCUGGCCGGGGUGGUGAGAUGACCUGGGUUCAAAGGAGCUGGCUGCAUAAUAAAACGUCGAAGAAACCACACAGCACACAAACAUGAGAUUCUAAGAAUGAGGGCAGGAUGGCUGUGACCCUAAGGGUCAGCUCCUGGCUGGGCAGCGCUGGAAAAAGCAAGAGAGCGAGCACACCCGAAACAUCUCCCUCCUACAAUUUACUGGAGAGAAGACAAUAGAAUAUUCCACCCAAAUAAGGUAAGGAGCAGGAUUUUGAAGGGUGGAGUCUUGCGUGGUGAUGCCUUGUGAUCAGCAGAUUGAUUGACAUCUUGGCAAAUCACACCCAUCUCAAGUGCUGUGUGGGAUCGUGGGCAGAGUGAGAGGACACAUUUGUGUCACGCAGCCGGAUCAGCGCACAACGCCAGACCAGUCCCCUCACAUGCUCAAAUGCUCAUAGCUCACACACAGAGCCCUGGGUGGCUGGCGACAAUAAACUAUGGACUUUAGGGGCUGGGUUGUGGCCCAGUGGGCGCUUUCCUAG
RNAcentral lists this long non-coding RNA (1339 nucleotides) under Marmota monax (woodchuck). The record is from RNAcentral. Lineage: Eukaryota; Metazoa; Chordata; Mammalia; Rodentia; Sciuridae.